This is a non-coding RNA of Vicia faba (fava bean), 301 nucleotides long. The record is from the annotation of a GenBank genome assembly. NCBI's taxonomy places the organism in Eukaryota, Viridiplantae, Streptophyta, Magnoliopsida, Fabales, Fabaceae.
AUGUUCCAUAACGACAAUGACGACAUGGUAGCGGAGACUGCGUGGAACCAAAAGGGAAACAAAAGUCCCAUUAAAGCGAAAGCUCAAACUAUCCAAAAUACUUUAUCUGUAGCCAGAAUCAUAAGAUUGAGACAAAUCAAAAUAUACAUUGAUUAUGAGAGAUUAAUUACAGAGGUGAAGAACAGUAGCAAUAACAGUGCAAUCACACGAAUAGGAAGUAUUGUAACAAUUGAGACAUGUCUAACAAACCCUAAAAAGAUUCGAAGAAAGCAACGUUAUUCACAUACUACGGGCCAUGAAC